This is a long non-coding RNA of Scylla paramamosain (green mud crab), 340 nucleotides long. RefSeq lists it as uncharacterized. NCBI's taxonomy places the organism in Eukaryota, Metazoa, Arthropoda, Malacostraca, Decapoda, Portunidae. The record is from RefSeq and is a predicted model, not a curated record. The transcript has 3 exons.
CAACACCACCACUGCUCACAUGCAUACGAACUUGUGACCACACUAACUGGGCUAAAUAAUGGAUUUUCCUUAGCCUUACUGUCAUCAUCAUUUUAAAGAAUGUUCUUGGGAGUGUGGCUGAUGAUCAAGCAGGUCACUCCAGGAUUGUGGUGGCAACAGCGCAGACAAGUACAACCAACACCCUGAGUACCAAGUCAGUCUGGAUCCACUAUAGUUCUAAACUCUCCUCAUCCACUGGUGCUGUAGAUGGAUAAUCAGGAUCAUAAUCAUCCUCUUCCUCAUUCUCCGAAUCAAGAGCAAUCCCCUUGUUUCUCUGUCGCAUGCGGGAGAGCAACUGAGA